ACCGGGAUGCCUCAGUAACGGCGAGUGAAGCGGCAAGAGCUCAAAUUUGAAAUCUGGCCCCUCCGGGGUCCGAGUUGUAAUUUGCAGAGGAUGCUUCGGGUGCGGCCCCUGUCUAAGUGCCCUGGAACGGGCCGUCAGAGAGGGUGAGAAUCCCGUCUUGGGCAGGGUGCCCGUGCCCGUGUGAAGCUCCUUCGACGAGUCGAGUUGUUUGGGAAUGCAGCUCUAAAUGGGUGGUAAAUUUCAUCUAAAGCUAAAUACCGGCCGGAGACCGAUAGCGCACAAGUAGAGUGAUCGAAAGAUGAAAAGCACUUUGAAAAGAGAGUUAAACAGCACGUGAAAUUGUUGAAAGGGAAGCGCUUGCGACCAGACUCGGCCCCGGGGUUCAGCCAGCACUCGUGCUGGUGUACUUCCCCGGGGGCGGGCCAGCGUCGGUUUGGGCGGCCGGUCAAAGGCCCCAGGAAUGUGUCGCCCUCCGGGGCGUCUUAUAGCCUGGGGUGCAAUGCGGCCAGCCCGGACCGAGGAACGCGCUUCGGCACGGACGCUGGCGUAAUGGUCGCAAACGACCCGUCUUGAAACACGGACCAAGGAGUCUAACAUCUACGCGAGUGUUCGGGUGUCAAACCCGUACGCGCAGUGAAAGCGAACGGAGGUGGGAGUCCCGCAAGGGGCGCACCAUCGACCGAUCCUGAUGUCUUCGGAUGGAUUUGAGUAAGAGCGUAGCUGUGGGGAUCCGAAAGAUGGUGAACUAUGCCUGAAUAGGGCGAAGCUCAGAGGAAACUCUGGUGGAGGCUCGCAGCGGUUCUGACGUGCAAAUCGAUCGUCAAACUUUGGGUAUAGGGGUGAAAGACUAAUCGAAACCAUCUGGUAGCUGGGUUCUGCGAAG
RNAcentral lists this ribosomal RNA (883 nucleotides) under Aspergillus clavatus var. clavatus. Its description in RNAcentral is "LSU rRNA". It matches the Rfam family "Eukaryotic large subunit ribosomal RNA", at positions 68 to 966 of the family's 3401-position model. The record is from RNAcentral. Lineage: Eukaryota; Fungi; Ascomycota; Eurotiomycetes; Eurotiales; Aspergillaceae.